UAUCAAAAUUUUUAAUUCUUAAACGUCCAAAAAAUAUAUUAAAAUCAAGAAAAAGAAAUAAAACCAAAUCAAAAAAUUCCUGAAUCGCACUCGUCACCUUAGAAAAUCUAUAUAAAUAAAAUGUCAAUAUUUCACAUUUUUUCGUAACAGCCCGAAAAAUAUCAAAAAAUUUAAUUCGUAAACGUCAAAAAAAUAUAAAAAAUAAGAAAAUGACAUAAAAACACCUCAAAUAUUCUCGAAUAACACCCGUCACCUUAGAAUAACGAUAAGUAUAAAAUAUAAAAAAAAUCACAUUUUUCGUAACAGCCCAAAAAAUAUCAAGAGCUUUAAUUCAUAAACAUCCGAAAAAUAUAAGAAUCAAGAAAAACAUAUAAAAACACCUCAAGCAAUUCCCAAAUCUCACCAGUCACCAUAGAAUAUCGAUACGAAUAAAGUAACAAAAUUUCACAUUUUUUCUUGACUACCUGAAAAAAUAUCAAAUUUUUUUAUUUGUAAACAUCCCAAAAAUAUAAAAUCAAGAAAAAGACAGAAAAACACCUCAAAAAAUUCUAAAUCACACCAGUCACCUUAGAAUAUCGAUUUGAAUAGAAUAUAAAAAUUUCACAUUUUUUCGUGACUGCCCAAAAAUAUCAAAAAAUUAAUUCGUAAACGUCCAAAAAAUAUAAAAUACAUAAAAACACUUCAAAAAAUUCAUGUAUCGCACCUGUCACCCUAGAAUAUCAAUACGAAUAAAAUAUCAAAAAUUCACAUUUUUACGUUACUACCCAAAAAAUUUCAAAAUCAAGAAAAAGACAUAAAAAUACCUCAAAAAAAUCCCGAAUCGACCAGUCACUACACAAUAUUGAUAUGAAUAAAACAUCAAAAAUUAACAUAUUUUCGUGACUGCCUAAAAAAUAUAAAAAAUUUAAUUCGUAAACGUCCGAAAAGUAUAAAUAUCAAGAAAAAUACAUAAAAAAUUCUCAAAUCGCACCUGCCACCUUAGAAUAUCGAUACGAAUAAAAUAUCAAAAUUUCACAUUUUUUCGUGACUGACUGAAAAAUAUCAAAUAUUUUAAUUCUUAAACGUCCAAAAAAUAUAUUAAAAUCAAGAAAAGGACAUAAAAGCACAUCAAAAAAAUUCUGAAUCGCACCAGUCACCUUAGAAUAUCUAUAUGAAUAAAAUAUCAAAAUUUAACAUUUUUUCGUGACAGUAUUAAAAAUAUCAAAAAAUUUAAUUCCUUAACGUCAGAAAAAUAUAAAAACCAAGAAAAAGACAUAAAAACACCUCAAAAAUUCUCGAAUAGCACCAUUCACCUUAGAUUAUCGAUAAGAAUAAAAUAUAAAAAACUUCACAUUUUAUCGUAACAGCCCGAAAAAUAUAAAAAGCUUUAAUUCGUAAACGUCCGAAUAGUAUAAGAAUCAAGAAAAAGAAAUAAAAACACCUCAAAAAAUUCCCGAAUUGCACCAGUCACCAUAGAGUAUCGAUACGAAUAAAAUAUCAAAAUUUCACAUGUUUUCGUGACUGCAUGAAAAAAUAUCAAUUUUUUUUAUUCGUAAACAUCCCAAAAAUAUAAAAAUCAAGAAAAAGACAGAAAAACACC
RNAcentral lists this long non-coding RNA (1579 nucleotides) under Solanum tuberosum (potato). RNAcentral's name for it is "long non-coding RNA (STUB_LNC000326)". The record is from RNAcentral. Lineage: Eukaryota; Viridiplantae; Streptophyta; Magnoliopsida; Solanales; Solanaceae.